This is a long non-coding RNA of Artibeus jamaicensis (Jamaican fruit-eating bat), 1024 nucleotides long. RefSeq lists it as uncharacterized. The record is from RefSeq and is a predicted model, not a curated record. The transcript has 3 exons. Lineage: Eukaryota; Metazoa; Chordata; Mammalia; Chiroptera; Phyllostomidae.
ACCAGCCUGCCCUGGCUUCCCGUAACUGAGACUGCAGCCUGGCCCCGCCUCCCCGCCCCAGAAGACCGAGGACGGGAGGAGGAAGGGAGGCAGCGGGAGCAAAUGUCACAGACCUGGAGGGACCGUCCACUGAGGAAGCAGGGACUCAGCCCCGUGGCCUGAGUGCCCAGAUCCCUACCCUGCCCUCUGCUCAGCCCAGGGCAUGGGGUCUCCACCAGGAACUUCCUCUGCACCGCGGACCCCAAGCCCCUGGCCGGGUGGGGGCCGGUCCCCGGGACUCGCUGGUUCCCUCCGCAGGGCCCCGUCCCCUCAGCGUUUCCAUUUUGCACUGUGGUGAAAUUUAGUGCGGAAACCCUUUGGAAGUUCAGUGGCAGCGAUAUGCUCACACCCCCUCACUCCCGUGCGGCCCCCAUACCUGUCUGGCCCCACAGCCCCACCGUCCCCUCCGGAAGCAGCCCCCACGCCCAUGGGCAGUGGCUCCCAUUUCCACCCCAGGCCUCCAACCGCCAGCCGGCCAGCCCGAAUUCUGUCCCCAUGCGCCACUGCCACCGGCUGUGGGUGCCGCUUGUGACCCCCUGUGCCCGAUGUUCUCCAGGCCCGUUGACAUUGUGUCUAGACAGUGACAGUCCCCUGUGUAGGCGGGCCAUACUCGCUGAUGGACAUUCAGCCUGUUUCCGCCCUUUGGCCAGUGUGAUUGGAGCUGCCACCAACGUUAAUGUCCCGCGUCGCCGACCACCCUAACCGUGUGGAGGAACACGCUUCCCCUGCCCCCAAGGUGCCUCUGGCCGGUCUGAUAUCCGAUAGACCCGAGGCAGAUCAGCAACAGGAAACAGCUAACUAUGUGCGGGAACCCCACAAACAGGGGAGCCCGAGACCCGCAGGCCGAGAGGUCCGCAGCCAGAAAGGGACCGUGGGCAGCGGAGGUCCGGGGCUAGGGAGGGGCGACACCUGCAAAGGCCUUUGCAAGAUGAUCACAGGAGCAGAGAUUUAGUGAAUGUUAAAUAAAACCGUGUUCUGCCUUAUA